GCCCCAGACAUUCAACUGAGGGCCCGGAUCCCAGAAGUUUCCCACGCAAGUCCAACUAAAGGCUUAGAGCCCAAGCAAAGGGGAAUUAAGGCUGUAAACAGAAUCAUCAAGGCUGUCAGUCAGCUGACCUUCACAGGCAGAGACUCUCCCGAAUCACCUCUGAAAGCGCGACAGCCUGAAAGGCAGCAGAGGGAAGAGAAGAUUAAAGUCAGAAGGUGCAGUUACAGGAGGGAACUGUGAGGCAGGAGACCUCAGCCCGCUGUGGCAGCCUUUGAAAAAGCAUCCUCUGUCAGGCAAGGCAUGGAGA
RNAcentral lists this long non-coding RNA (307 nucleotides) under Fukomys damarensis (Damara mole-rat). Its description in RNAcentral is "lncRNA (ENSFDAG00000025748.1)". The record is from RNAcentral. Lineage: Eukaryota; Metazoa; Chordata; Mammalia; Rodentia; Bathyergidae.